UACGGAGGUGGCAAGCGUUGUUCGGAAUUACUGGGCGUAAAGGGCGCGUAGGCGGCAAGGCAAGUCAGGUGUGAAAGCCCCGAGCUUAACUCGGGAAUUGCAUCUGAAACUGCUGUGCUUGAGUUCUGGAGGGGGUAGUGGAAUUCCCAGUGUAGCGGUGAAAUGCGUAGAUAUUGGGAGGAACACCUGCGGCGAAGGCGGCUCUCUGGGACGGUACUGACGCUGAGACGCGAAAGCGUGGGGAGCGAACAGG
RNAcentral lists this ribosomal RNA (253 nucleotides) under uncultured bacterium. RNAcentral's name for it is "partial 16S ribosomal RNA". It matches the Rfam family "Bacterial small subunit ribosomal RNA", at positions 524 to 776 of the family's 1533-position model. The record is from RNAcentral.